This 465-nucleotide ribosomal RNA is filed under the name Vreelandella stevensii. Its description in RNAcentral is "partial 16S ribosomal RNA". It matches the Rfam family "Bacterial small subunit ribosomal RNA", at positions 338 to 795 of the family's 1533-position model. The record is from RNAcentral. Lineage: Bacteria; Pseudomonadati; Pseudomonadota; Gammaproteobacteria; Oceanospirillales; Halomonadaceae.
CCUACGGGAGGCAGCAGUGGGGAAUCUUGGACAAUGGGGGCAACCCUGAUCCAGCCAUGCCGCGUGUGUGAAGAAGGCCCUCGGGUUGUAAAGCACUUUCAGUGAGGAAGAACGCCUGGUGGUUAAUACCCAUCAGGAAAGACAUCACUCACAGAAGAAGCACCGGCUAACUCCGUGCCAGCAGCCGCGGUAAUACGGAGGGUGCGAGCGUUAAUCGGAAUUACUGGGCGUAAAGCGCGCGUCGGUGGCUUGAUAAGCCGGUUGUGAAAGCCCCGGGCUCAACCUGGGAACGGCAUCCGGAACUGUCAAGCUAGAGUGCAGGAGAGGAAGGUAGAAUUCCCGGUGUAGCGGUGAAAUGCGUAGAGAUCGGGAGGAAUACCAGUGGCGAAGGCGGCCUUCUGGACUGACACUGACACUGAGGUGCGAAAGCGUGGGUAGCAAACAGGAUUAGAUACCCUGGUAGUC